CGGGUGAGUAACACGUGGAUAACCUACCUAUAAGACUGGGAUAACUUCGGGAAACCGGAGCUAAUACCGGAUAAUAUAUUGAACCGCAUGGUUCAAUGGUGAAAGACGGUUUUGCUGUCACUUAUAGAUGGAUCCGCGCCGCAUUAGCUAGUUGGUAAGGUAACGGCUUACCAAGGCAACGAUGCGUAGCCGACCUGAGAGGGUGAUCGGCCACACUGGAACUGAGACACGGUCCAGACUCCUACGGGAGGCAGCAGCA
RNAcentral lists this ribosomal RNA (259 nucleotides) under uncultured Staphylococcus sp. Its description in RNAcentral is "partial 16S ribosomal RNA". It matches the Rfam family "Bacterial small subunit ribosomal RNA", at positions 103 to 355 of the family's 1533-position model. Lineage: Bacteria; Bacillati; Bacillota; Bacilli; Caryophanales; Staphylococcaceae. The record is from RNAcentral.